Molecule: ribosomal RNA, 251 nt
Filed under: uncultured prokaryote
Description: partial 16S rRNA
Rfam family: Bacterial small subunit ribosomal RNA
Source: RNAcentral
ACAGAGGUCCCAAGCGUUGUUCGGAUUCACUGGGCGUAAAGGGUGCGUAGGUGGUGAGGUAAGUCGGAUGUGAAAUCUCGGAGCUUAACUCCGAAAUGGCAUUGGAAACUGCCUUGCUAGAGGUUCGGAGGGGGGACUGGAAUACUUGGUGUAGCAGUGUAAUGCGUAGAUAUCAAGUGGAACACCAGUGGCUAAGGGGAGUCCCUGGACGAAACCUUACACUGAUGCACGAAAUCUAGGUGAGCAAACAG